UACGUAGGGUGCGAGCGUUGUCCGGAAUUACUGGGCGCAAAGAGCUCAUAGGUGGUUUGUCGCGUUGUUCGUGAAAACUCACAGCUUAACUGUGGGCGUGCGGGCGAUACGGGCAGACUGGAGUACUGCAGGGGAGACUGGAAUUCCUGGUGUAGCGGUGGAAUGCGCAGAUAUCAGGAGGAACACCGGUGGCGAAGGCGGGUCUCUGGGCAGUAACUGACGCUGAGGAGCGAAAGCGUGGGGAGCGAACAGG
Molecule: ribosomal RNA, 253 nt
Filed under: uncultured bacterium
Lineage: Bacteria
Description: partial 16S ribosomal RNA
Rfam family: Bacterial small subunit ribosomal RNA
Source: RNAcentral